UGGAUGAUUGCCUGGAGUAGAAUCAC
RNAcentral lists this non-coding RNA (26 nucleotides) under Rattus norvegicus (Norway rat). Lineage: Eukaryota; Metazoa; Chordata; Mammalia; Rodentia; Muridae. The record is from RNAcentral.